UUCCUUCAGUUAAUGUAUGAAUAUGUUCGUAGAUUUCUUCAGCAAAUUCUUAGUACCUAUACGUCCAUGAAUACAAACCUAAAAACUGUUUUUUCUCAUUCUAAUGUGCUGCGUUAAAAUCUUCAUACGUUCCAAUAUUUGGCCAUCUCUUCCGACCUAAACAGUACGAUGAUCCCCCGCCGCGAUACUCAUCAAUUAAUCCCUUUAAUAUUCAGGAUAAAAAUAAACCUAAACCGCAGCCACGGCAAAAAUUGCCCCCACCAGGUCCAAGCGCUCCACCAGCUUUACAAGAUAUACCAAAUUUGCCAAACGUUCCAAGUGAUUUGCCGGAGUUCCCGGCGGAGG
Molecule: long non-coding RNA, 345 nt
Organism: Rhagoletis zephyria (snowberry fruit fly)
Lineage: Eukaryota; Metazoa; Arthropoda; Insecta; Diptera; Tephritidae
Source: RefSeq, a predicted model, not a curated record